AUUGAACGCUGGCGGCAGGCCUAACACAUGCAAGUCGAGCGCGCGGCGGACGGGUGAGUAAUGUAUGUGGAUCUCUCCGUUAUAGGGGGAUAAAUCCUGGAAACGGUAGCUAAUACCGCAUACUAUCUGAUGUACCCAUAUGGGAUGAGCUCGUAGGUGGGGUAAUGGCUCACCUAGGCGACGAUCCCUAGCUGGUCUGAGAGGAUGAUCAGCCACACUGGGACUGAGACACGGCCCAGACUCCUACGGGAGGCAGCAGUGGGGAAUUUUGGACAAUGGGGGAAACCCUGAUCCAGCCAUCCCGCGUGUAUGAUGAAGGCCUUCGGGUUGUAAAGUACUUUUGGCAGAGAAGCGGUAUCUGCAGAAGAAGCACCGGCUAACUACGUGCCAGCAGCCGCGGUAAUAC
This 406-nucleotide ribosomal RNA is filed under the name uncultured bacterium. RNAcentral's name for it is "partial 16S ribosomal RNA". It matches the Rfam family "Bacterial small subunit ribosomal RNA", at positions 30 to 526 of the family's 1533-position model. The record is from RNAcentral.